GGGUGAGGAGCAUACAGGGCAUCUGAGACUCCAGGCAGAGGAGGGCCCUUGGAGGGGACCGCGGGCUGGACCGGCCGUCUGUGGGCGCAGGGUCGCUGGCGCGCUGUCCUGCCACGGCUAUCCCCAGAGUUUGGCCACCAUGGGCUCUCUUCGCCUGGCGGCGUCUAAGAUAAGUGACUUAGGGCCGCGGGGCUCAGCUGGCCUAGAGGUGUAUGGAAGCCUAGGACCCUAGAAAGCCUCUAGGAUCGCCACGACGCGAGCAGUAAUGGGAACCCUCGCAUCCCUCACCUCUCAUCUGCGGGACAGCAUCUCUACAGUCCCGCGCCGCCUCUCUCGCACACCGGGGUUGCAGAGUACCAGCCGCCUCCUUACUUCCCGCCGCCCUACCAGCAGUUGGCAUACUCGCAAUCCGCCGAUCAUUACUCGCACUUGGGAGAGGCUUACGCUGCCGCCAUCAACCCCUUGCACCAGCCUGCGCCCACCGGCAGCCAGCAACAGGCCUGGCCA
Molecule: long non-coding RNA, 507 nt
Filed under: Rattus norvegicus (Norway rat)
Lineage: Eukaryota; Metazoa; Chordata; Mammalia; Rodentia; Muridae
Description: long non-coding RNA NONRATT018936
Source: RNAcentral